CCUAGAGAGAAGCUAGUGCUAAAAAUGUAUUGAAAUGGAGAAGCAAGAGCUAGAAAAGAAACUUCAGAAACUAAGUUUAUAACUCUGGGCAAUUAUGUCAGUUGAAUGGCAGGAGAGAGGAGUCAUCUGGAUUCAGGAGAGGCAUCAACCCAAAUAAGGCCUGGUCAUUGCUGUUCUUGUAAACAGGGAUAGUAUUCAGUACCAACUGUUUGUUGAAUUAGGGAAAACUAAACAGCUAAUCAACUAUUACCAGCUUCUAAUAGCUACAAUAAGUAGUUUUGUAGGCUGCCU
Molecule: long non-coding RNA, 291 nt
Organism: Pantherophis guttatus
Lineage: Eukaryota; Metazoa; Chordata; Lepidosauria; Squamata; Colubridae
Source: RefSeq, a predicted model, not a curated record